RNAcentral lists this ribosomal RNA (852 nucleotides) under Escherichia coli. RNAcentral's name for it is "partial 23S ribosomal RNA". It matches the Rfam family "Bacterial large subunit ribosomal RNA", at positions 334 to 1191 of the family's 2925-position model. The record is from RNAcentral. Lineage: Bacteria; Pseudomonadati; Pseudomonadota; Gammaproteobacteria; Enterobacterales; Enterobacteriaceae.
GGAAGCGUCUGGAAAGGCGCGCGAUACAGGGUGACAGCCCCGUACACAAAAAUGCACAUAUUGUGAGCUCGAUGAGUAGGGCGGGACACGUGGUAUCCUGUCUGAAUAUGGGGGGACCAUCCUCCAAGGCUAAAUACUCCUGACUGACCGAUAGUGAACCAGUACCGUGAGGGAAAGGCGAAAAGAACCCCGGCGAGGGGAGUGAAAAAGAACCUGAAACCGUGUACGUACAAGCAGUGGGAGCCUCUUAAUGGGGUGACUGCGUACCUUUUGUAUAAUGGGUCAGCGACUUAUAUUCUGUAGCAAGGUUAACCGAAUAGGGGAGCCGAAGGGAAACCGAGUCUUAACUGGGCGUUAAGUUGCAGGGUAUAGACCCGAAACCCGGUGAUCUAGCCAUGGGCAGGUUGAAGGUUGGGUAACACUAACUGGAGGACCGAACCGACUAAUGUUGAAAAAUUAGCGGAUGACUUGUGGCUGGGGGUGAAAGGCCAAUCAAACCGGGAGAUAGCUGGUUCUCCCCGAAAGCUAUUUAGGUAGCGCCUCGUGAAUUCAUCUCCGGGGGUAGAGCACUGUUUCGGCAAGGGGGUCAUCCCGACUUACCAACCCGAUGCAAACUGCGAAUACCGGAGAAUGUUAUCACGGGAGACACACGGCGGGUGCUAACGUCCGUCGUGAAGAGGGAAACAACCCAGACCGCCAGCUAAGGUCCCAAAGUCAUGGUUAAGUGGGAAACGAUGUGGGAAGGCCCAGACAGCCAGGAUGUUGGCUUAGAAGCAGCCAUCAUUUAAAGAAAGCGUAAUAGCUCACUGGUCGAGUCGGCCUGCGCGGAAGAUGUAACGGGGCUAAACCAUG